CCUGGUGGCUCAGAUGGUAAAGAAUCUGCCUGCAAUGCAGGAAAUCCAGGUUCAAUCCCUGGGUCAGGA
RNAcentral lists this transfer RNA (69 nucleotides) under Bos taurus (domestic cattle). It matches the Rfam family "tRNA". Rfam says of the family: Transfer RNA (tRNA) molecules are approximately 80 nucleotides in length. The record is from Rfam by way of RNAcentral. RNAcentral also lists the same sequence under 2 other names. Lineage: Eukaryota; Metazoa; Chordata; Mammalia; Artiodactyla; Bovidae.